AGAGCGAACGCUGGCGGCAGGCCUAACACAUGCAAGUCGAGCGCCCGUAGCAAUACGGGAGCGGCAGACGGGAUAGUAACACGUGGGAACGCGCCCUUCGGUUCGGAAUAACUCAGGGAAACUUGAGCUAAUACCGGAUACGCCCUUACGGGGAAAGAUUUAUUGCCGAAGGAACGGCCCGCGUCCGAUUAGCUAGUUGGUGAGGUAAUGGCUCACCAAGGCGACGAUCGGUAGCUGGUCUGAGAGGAUGACCAGCAUCACUGGGACUGAGACACGGCCCAGACUCCUACGGGAGGCAGCAGUGGGGAAUAUUGGACAAUGGGCGCAAGCCUGAUCCAGCCAUGCCGCGUGGAUGAUGAAGGCCUUAGGGUUGUAAAGUCCUUUUAACGGGGAGAUAAUGACGGUACCGUAGAAUAAGCCCGGCUAACUUCGCGCCAGCAGCCGC
This 445-nucleotide ribosomal RNA is filed under the name uncultured bacterium. Its description in RNAcentral is "SSU rRNA". It matches the Rfam family "Bacterial small subunit ribosomal RNA", at positions 26 to 518 of the family's 1533-position model. The record is from RNAcentral.